AGGGCGGCAGGCUACACAUGCAGUCGAGCGGUAGCACAGAGAGCUUGCUCUCGGGUGACGAGCGGCGGACGGGUGAGUAAUGUCUGGGAAACUGCCUGAUGGAGGGGGAUAACUACUGGAAACGGUAGCUAAUACCGCAUAAUGUCGCAAGACCAAAGUGGGGGACCUUCGGGCCUCAUGCCAUCAGAUGUGCCCAGAUGGGAUUAGCUAGUAGGUGGGGUAACGGCUCACCUAGGCGACGAUCCCUAGCUGGUCUGAGAGGAUGACCAGCCACACUGGAACUGAGACACGGUCCAGACUCCUACGGGAGGCAGCAGUG
Molecule: ribosomal RNA, 319 nt
Filed under: Pectobacterium sp.
Lineage: Bacteria; Pseudomonadati; Pseudomonadota; Gammaproteobacteria; Enterobacterales; Pectobacteriaceae
Description: bacterial SSU rRNA
Rfam family: Bacterial small subunit ribosomal RNA
Source: RNAcentral